UACGGGGGGGACGAGCGUUGUUCGGAUUUAUUGGGCGUAAAGGGCGCGUAGGUGGGCUUUCAAGUCGGUUGUGAAAACCCCGGGCUUAACCCGGGGCCUGCAUUCGAUACUGUUAGUCUUGAGUACGGUAGAGGAGAGUGGAAUUCCAGGUGUAGCGGUGAAAUGCGUAGAUAUCUGGAAGAACACCAGUAGCGAAGGCGGCUCUCUGGAACGAUACUGACACUAAAGCGCGAAGGCUUGGGUAGCAAACAGG
RNAcentral lists this ribosomal RNA (253 nucleotides) under uncultured bacterium. Its description in RNAcentral is "partial 16S ribosomal RNA". It matches the Rfam family "Bacterial small subunit ribosomal RNA", at positions 524 to 776 of the family's 1533-position model. The record is from RNAcentral.